UACGGAGGAGGCAAGCGUUAUCCGGAAUUAUUGGGCGUAAAGCGUCCGCAGGUGGCACCUCAAGUCUGCUGUCAAAGGCCGGGGCUUAACCCCAGAAAGGCAGUGGAAACUGAAGUGCUAGAGUGCAGUAGGGGUAGAGGGAAUUCCCGGUGUAGCGGUGAAAUGCGUAGAGAUCGGGAAGAACAUCGGUGGCGAAAGCGCUCUGCUGGACUGCAACUGACACUCAGGGACGAAAGCUAGGGGAGCGAACAGG
Molecule: ribosomal RNA, 253 nt
Filed under: uncultured bacterium
Lineage: Bacteria
Description: partial 16S ribosomal RNA
Rfam family: Bacterial small subunit ribosomal RNA
Source: RNAcentral